AUUGAAGGCUGGCGGCAGGCCUAACACAUGCAAGUCGAACGGUAACAGGAAGCAGCUUGCUGCUUCGCUGACGAGUGGCGGACGGGUGAGUAAUGUCUGGGAAGCUGCCUGAUGGAGGGGGAUAACUACUGGAAACGGUAGCUAAUACCGCAUAAUGUCGCAAGACCAAAGAGGGGGACCUUCGGGCCUCUUGCCAUCGGAUGUGCCCAGAUGGGAUUAGCUUGUUGGUGGGGUAACGGCUCACCAAGGCGACGAUCCCUAGCUGGUCUGAGAGGAUGACCAGCCACACUGGAACUGAGACACGGUCCAGACUCCUACGGGAGGCAGCAGUGGGGAAUAUUGCACAAUGGGCGCAAGCCUGAUGCAGCCAUGCCGCGUGUAUGAAGAAGGCCUUCGGGUUGUAAAGUACUUUCAGCGGGGAGGAAGGGAGUAAAGUUAAUACCUUUGCUCAUUGACGUUACCCGCAGAAGAAGCACCGGCUAACUCCGUG
Molecule: ribosomal RNA, 490 nt
Filed under: uncultured bacterium
Lineage: Bacteria
Description: partial 16S ribosomal RNA
Rfam family: Bacterial small subunit ribosomal RNA
Source: RNAcentral